UACGUAGGGGGCAAGCGUUGUCCGGAUUUAUUGGGCGUAAAGCGCGUGUAGGCGGUCAGGUAGGUCCGUUGUGAAAACUCGAGGCUCAACCUCGAGACGCCGAUGGAAACCAUCUGACUAGAGUCCGGAAGAGGAGAGUGGAAUUCCUGGUGUAGCGGUGAAAUGCGCAGAUAUCAGGAAGAACACCCGUGGCUAAGGCGGCUCUCUAGUACGGUACUGACGCUGAGACGCGAAAGCGUGGGGAGCGAACAGG
Molecule: ribosomal RNA, 253 nt
Filed under: uncultured bacterium
Lineage: Bacteria
Description: partial 16S ribosomal RNA
Rfam family: Bacterial small subunit ribosomal RNA
Source: RNAcentral